GAUGAACGCUGGCGGCGUGCCUAAUACAUGCAAGUCGAGCGAACGGACGAGGAGCUUGCUUCUCUGAUGUUAGCGGCGGACGGGUGAGUAACACGUGGAUAACCUACCUAUAAGACUGGGAUAACUUCGGGAAACCGUAGCUAAUACCGGAUAAUAUUUUGAACCGCAUGGUUCAAAAGUGAAAGACGGUCUUGCUGUCACUUAUAGAUGGAUCCGCGCUGCAUUAGCUAGUUGGUAAGGUAACGGCUUACCAAGGCAACGAUGCAUAGCCGACCUGAGAGGGUGAUCGGCCACACUGGAACUGAGACACGGUCCAGACUCCUACGGGAGGCAGCAGUAGGGAAUCUUCCGCAAUGGGCGAAAGCCUGACGGAGCAACGCCGCGUGAGUGAUGAAGGUCUUCGGAUCGUAAAACUCUGUUAUUAGGGAAGAUCAUAUGUGUAAGUAACUGUGCACAUCUUGACGGUACCUAAUCAGAAAGCCACGGCUAACUACGUG
This 497-nucleotide ribosomal RNA is filed under the name uncultured bacterium. RNAcentral's name for it is "partial 16S ribosomal RNA". It matches the Rfam family "Bacterial small subunit ribosomal RNA", at positions 28 to 507 of the family's 1533-position model. The record is from RNAcentral.